Molecule: non-coding RNA, 24 nt
Filed under: Arabidopsis thaliana (thale cress)
Lineage: Eukaryota; Viridiplantae; Streptophyta; Magnoliopsida; Brassicales; Brassicaceae
Source: RNAcentral
GUUGUAAGCAUGUGUCUUCUCUGC